GGCCGUGUUGCGAUUACCUCAGUGGUUUAUAAUUCUUUACCUUCCUAUAUUUACUUAAUUUCAUUUCUGGUGCUUACAGUAAUCACACUAACAUAUACAUAUCUAAUUUGGGAUAAAUCAGAUUAUAGGUAUAGCUUGUCUUGGGCAACAUAAGCUUGUUUUGUGUAAUUUGAUUGAUUGGAAAAGUAGGUGCUUAGGGUGACUAGAUUAAUGGGUUUGCAUCUAUUUAACGUAGUCCUUGAAUUUCUUUUACAUGAUUAUUUUCAUUCUGCACAGCUUGGAAGAAGCGUACAGAAGAG
RNAcentral lists this unclassified non-coding RNA (299 nucleotides) under Hevea brasiliensis (rubber tree). Lineage: Eukaryota; Viridiplantae; Streptophyta; Magnoliopsida; Malpighiales; Euphorbiaceae. The record is from RNAcentral.